GAUGAACGCUGGCGGCGUGCUUAACACAUGCAAGUCGAACGAAGAUGCCGGAGUGCUUGCACUUUGGCAGACUGAGUGGCGGACGGGUGAGUAACGCGUGGGUAACCUGCCUUAUACAGGGGGAUAACAGUUGGAAACGACUGCUAAUACCGCAUAAGCGCACGGUAUCGCAUGAUACAGUGUGAAAAACUCCGGUGGUAUAAGAUGGACCCGCGUCUGAUUAGCUUGUUGGUGAGGUAACGGCCCACCAAGGCGACGAUCAGUAGCCGGCCUGAGAGGGCGACCGGCCACAUUGGGACUGAGACACGGGCCCAAAACUCCUACGGGAGGCAGCAGUGGGGAAUAUUGCACAAUGGGGGAAACCCUGAUGCAGCGACGCCGCGUGAAGGAAGAAGUAUUCGGUAUGUAAACUUCUAUCAGCAGGGAAGAAAAUGACGGUACCUGACUAAGAAGCCCCGGCUAACUACGUG
RNAcentral lists this ribosomal RNA (470 nucleotides) under uncultured bacterium. RNAcentral describes it as "bacterial SSU rRNA". It matches the Rfam family "Bacterial small subunit ribosomal RNA", at positions 28 to 507 of the family's 1533-position model. The record is from RNAcentral.